ACUGAUCCAUGCCCUGGUCUAUCAGAGAGGGGUCCUGAGAGCCCCAGGCUCAGAAUUACACGCUCAGUGACAGUCGUUUCACACUGGUGCUUGUGACUACAACUGUGUAAUUCUUAGAGCCCUGAAAAGCUGCCCUGGUAAACCCUCACCGUGUGAGUGAGAACUCUGCAAACCUAAAGCUCCACUUCCAGAUUUGUAAAUAACAGCCUUUCUGUUGAAUCCUGGAAGGCCAGCGAAGUCCUGCACGCCGCUCUGGGAUUUUCCAUCCUGUGGCUGUUUACAGUCACACCAAGUGAGAGUGAAACAGGAGCACCCCGAGCUUGCCGUGUUUUUCACAGCUUUACACCAACUCUACAAAACUGAGCUCAGGGCAACACUGUGAAGAACAAGAUCCCUCGUGUUUUGCCUGGGUUUUGUAAAGACAGCUUCAAAAUAUUCAAUAUUCCAAGGGGGAGGCAGAGGAUACGGAAAAAGUCCUGUAAAGUUUAUUCUUCCUUCAGCACAAGGCGCUGCGAGCUUUGGAGCAAGGUGUGAGGGCCAGGCUUGAUGAGAUGGUCGGGCUUGCAGGGCAGUGUCAUUUGUCCUGCAAGCAGGAGCCCAAAAGUGCCAGAUCUGGGUACCUGAUGUCUGCUCUGCAGUUUUCUGGGCACAGGCAGCAGUGGUGACACGAGACACAAGACCCUGGUAGAGGACAAACUUACUGCUUGGCCUCAGACUCUAUUUAAGAUGACUUUACUCAUUUUUUUUGGCACUCACUGCAGGGUAGGAAGUACCUGCGAGUUCUCCCCAUCUGCCAUGUGCUCUGAGGGUUCACUGCAGUUGUUCUGAACCAGGUGUGGCCACAAGAACAAAACCACCGUUGUGCUCGGGCCCUGGGCUGGCUGCUCAGCGGGGUGGCCACAGACUCGAGCUCCCUUGGAGGGGCUGCCUGCGGUUUCACCUUGUUUGAUGUCCCAGGCUGGGCUGCGCUGCUGGAGUUGUGCUCUGCACAUGCAAGCUGUGCCUCGAGAGUGGCAGCUCCAGCUCCAGGCUGUGUGCAGCGAGCUGCAGGGCCCUGCUCUGCAGCCUGAUGGCUCGGUCGUGUUCACUGACAGCCAAAGCGGCUCUUCAUCACCAAGUGGCCAAGUCACAGAGCAGGAAAUACAGCAGAGCCAUUUUAUCACACAGGUGACAUUUGCAAGCCUUCUGCACGCUGAGAUGUAACUUAAAAAUAAACGUGUGAAGUGCUGCUUUCCAGCAAGGGAGGAUGGACAGGAAGAUGUGUCUGUCUCUUCAGUCACUACAAGAAGCACUGAUGAUGUGUUUUCCAUUUUCCAGUUUGCCAGGCAAACAAGCACCAGGCACCGAUAUCAAAACCAGCCCAGAUUCCAAUGAAAACCAGCAAAGAGUAGAAAGGAAACUGCUUCAUUUUCCUUGCCCAACACAAUUAGCACUUCAAGAAUGCUGAGAGUCUGCUCUUAACUACCAAUAAAACCAGUUGGAUUUACCAGUGCCAUUAACCAGGUUAAGUGCCAGGAUUCAAGUGGAUUGGAAGAAAAGCUGUUUGGAUCACCAGAACAUGACUUCUGCUAGUCUGAGGGAUCCUAAAAUGGUGUGACAAUGAGCGUGUUCAAUGGAUGUAGAUGUGCUGCUGAAAGGCAUUCCAGCACCUCUGUGGGCAAGCUCCAGAACAGAAAAUUAAAAGGGGAAAGAAAAAAAAAUCCCAAAGUAGUAACCAGCUUAAUUUAUUUAACAAAUUUUUUUACCAAAAAAUAAAGAACUGAGUGCAGAGUCCAUCAUGUUUCUGUUUGUCAUCUUUGGGGGUAUAAAUCUUAAACACUGCUGAUGUUUUACUGCCAGGCACUCCAAGUCCUGCUGCUCUGGGGACAUUUGGGACACAGCACAACCCCAGGCUGCAGGAGGGAGGCUUCCAGCUUGGCAGAGGCUCCCAUUAGGGCAGGCAAUAAAAACACCUCCCACCACUCAGCUGGAAUCCUCUGUGGCUUUGGGAUUCUGUCACCUUGGACCGUUAAAGGUGGAAAAUGAACAAGUUCUAACAGCAAAGCCCUACUCAAAGAGUCAGUGUCUCCUUUGAGCAGAUUCCAGUGAGUUACUGCAGGGCUGGGGUACAGGGAAGGUGCCGAGGCAGUGAACACCCACCUCCAAUAAAACUCAAUAUGCCAAUGACUGAAAAAUAAAUCAAAUUACUUGGCAAAUAAAAAUGCAAUUCUGUGACUGCAAGGAAGCUGGCA
Molecule: long non-coding RNA, 2231 nt
Organism: Motacilla alba alba
Lineage: Eukaryota; Metazoa; Chordata; Aves; Passeriformes; Motacillidae
Exons: 3
Source: RefSeq, a predicted model, not a curated record